AUUGAACGCUGGCGGCAUGCCUUACACAUGCAAGUCGAACGGCAGCGGGGGAGAAGCUUGCUUUUCCUGCUGGCGAGUGGCGAACGGGUGAGUAAUACAUCGGAACGUGCCCUGUAGUGGGGGAUAACUAGUCGAAAGAUUAGCUAAUACCGCAUCCGACCUGAGGGUGAAAGUGGGGGACCGCAAGGCCUCAUGCUAUAGGAGCGGCCGAUGUCUGAUUAGCUAGUUGGUGGGGUAAAGGCCUACCGAGGCGACGAUCAGUAGCUGGUCUGAGAGGACGGUGCGCCACACGGGGACUGAGAAACGGCCCCGACUCCUACGGGAGGCAGCAGUGGGGAAUUUUGGACAAUGGGCGAAAGCGUGAUCCAGCGAUGCCGCGUGUGUGAAGAAGGCCUUCUGCUUGUAAAGCACUUUUGUCCGUAAAGAAAUGGCUCUGGUUAAUACCUGGGGUCGAUGACGGUACCGGAAGAAUAAGGACCGGCUAACUACGUGCCAGCCGCCGCAGUAA
RNAcentral lists this ribosomal RNA (508 nucleotides) under uncultured bacterium. RNAcentral describes it as "partial 16S ribosomal RNA". It matches the Rfam family "Bacterial small subunit ribosomal RNA", at positions 30 to 523 of the family's 1533-position model. The record is from RNAcentral.